AUUGAACGCUAGCGGGAUGCUUUACACAUGCAAGUCGAACGAGCGGCGGACGGGUGAGUAAUGUAUGGGGACUGCCCGAUAGAGGGGGAUAAAUACUGGAAACGGUAGCUAAUACCGCAUACUAUCGGAUAACCCAUAUGGGAUUAGCUAGUAGGUGAGGUAAUGGCUCACCUAGGCGACGCUCCCUAGCUGGUCUGAGAGGAUGAUCAGCAACACUGUGAAUGAGACACGGCCCAGACGCGAAGGGAGGCAGCAGUGGGUAAUAGUGCACAAUGGGCGCAAGCCUGAUGCAGCCAUGCCGCGUGUAUGAAGAAGACCCAAGGGUUGUAAAGUACUUUCAGUCGGGAGGCGUUGCCGACAGAAGAAGCACCGGCUAACGCCGUGCCAGCAGCCGCGGUAAUUC
RNAcentral lists this ribosomal RNA (403 nucleotides) under uncultured bacterium. RNAcentral's name for it is "partial 16S ribosomal RNA". It matches the Rfam family "Bacterial small subunit ribosomal RNA", at positions 30 to 526 of the family's 1533-position model. The record is from RNAcentral.